RNAcentral lists this ribosomal RNA (361 nucleotides) under Teleophrys pococki. Its description in RNAcentral is "partial 12S ribosomal RNA". The record is from RNAcentral. Lineage: Eukaryota; Metazoa; Arthropoda; Malacostraca; Decapoda; Mithracidae.
UACUAUACUAAAUUAUAAUUAAAAAACUUGAAUAUUAUAAGAUACAGUCUUUAAAUUCAAAGAAUUUGGCGGUAAUUUAGUCUUUCCAGAGGAACCUGUUUUUUAAUCGAUAAGCCACGAAUAAUCUUACUUGUCAAAUUUAAUGAAAGUUUGUAUACCGUCAUUAUCAGAUAAUAUUCGAAGAUUAAUUAUUAAACUUUAAAUAUUAAGGAAAAUUAGAUCAAGGUGCAGCUUAUAGGCAAGACAAAAUGGGUUACAAUUAAAUAAAUAUAAAAUGAAAUUUGACUUGAAAGAGUCUUAGGAAGGAGGAUUUGGUUGUAAUAGAGGAUAGUAAGAUAAAAAGAUAUAAGCUCUAAAUUGU